Molecule: ribosomal RNA, 440 nt
Filed under: uncultured bacterium
Lineage: Bacteria
Description: partial 16S ribosomal RNA
Rfam family: Bacterial small subunit ribosomal RNA
Source: RNAcentral
CCUACGGGGGACAGCAGUGGGGAAUAUUGCACAAUGGGGGAAACCCUGAUGCAGCGACGCCGCGUGAGUGAAGAAGUAAUUCGUUACGUAAAGCUCUAUCAGCAGGGAAGAAAAUGACGGUACAUGAGUAAGAAGCCCCGGCUAACUACGUGCCAGCAGCCGCGGUAAUACGUAGGGGGCAAGCGUUAUCCGGAUUUACUGGGUGUAAAGGGAGCGUAGACGGUGCGCCAAGUCUGGAGUGAAAUGCCGCAGCUUAACUGCGGAACUGCCUUGGAAACUGGCGGACUAGAGUGGGGGAGGGGUAAGCGGAAUUCCUAGGGUAGCGGUGAAAUGCGGAGAUAUUAGGAGGAACACCGGUGGCGAAGGCGGCUUACUGGACCGUAACUGACGUUGAGGCUCGAAAGCGUGGGGAGCAAACAGGAUUAGAUACCCGGGUAGGC